UUGUGUUUGAUACCCUGAGAAGCC
Molecule: non-coding RNA, 24 nt
Filed under: Cricetulus griseus (Chinese hamster)
Lineage: Eukaryota; Metazoa; Chordata; Mammalia; Rodentia; Cricetidae
Source: RNAcentral